GUGGCUCCUUCACUGCUGCUGCACUGUGAGAGCUGCAGUGCAGCCAGAAGCAGCCACGGAGAGCAACGCGAGUGGUUCCUGCCGACAGGCUCUGCAGAGCGAUCAGUGUUCUGUGCGAUGGUUCCACACACU
Molecule: non-coding RNA, 132 nt
Organism: Vidua macroura (Pin-tailed whydah)
Lineage: Eukaryota; Metazoa; Chordata; Aves; Passeriformes; Viduidae
Source: RefSeq, a predicted model, not a curated record